This 84-nucleotide transfer RNA is filed under the name Nitrosomonas sp. RNAcentral's name for it is "tRNA-OTHER". The record is from RNAcentral. Lineage: Bacteria; Pseudomonadati; Pseudomonadota; Betaproteobacteria; Nitrosomonadales; Nitrosomonadaceae.
AGUUAAAUUAAAACAACUGGUUGGAAAUUGACGGGUCGACUUUUAACCAAUUGGUCGAUGGUUCGAAUCCAUCACGGCCCACCA